This 492-nucleotide ribosomal RNA is filed under the name Triticum aestivum (bread wheat). Its description in RNAcentral is "partial small subunit ribosomal RNA". Lineage: Eukaryota; Viridiplantae; Streptophyta; Magnoliopsida; Poales; Poaceae. The record is from RNAcentral.
AUGGUGGUGUUGUUGGUUGCUUCGCACGGCAUGUUUAUCCUGCGUUCUUCGUGUGUGCCUCUGUUUGAGGCUGUUGCGAGCUACUGUCGACUGCCGUUCCAUUCAUAUGUUCGAGAGGUGGCAUCUGAUGGUUCUCUACUUGGAGGGGUUGAGAUCGAUGUUCUUGUUAGGGAAGAUGUAGUACGGUGCCAAACACAUUUUUUCUGGGGCAGUUCGUUUGACGGCUGCUCCUCUUUAUACGAUCAGGCUGCUUAUCAGGCGGUCCAGUUUUUACAGGGCGUUUAUGGCUUUGUUAUUGCGGAUUACAAUUAUGAGAGCAUGCUAGCAUAUAAAGGUGUUGCGCAGUCGGCUGUGGUGCUUGCAGGCGCGCUUGCUCGGUCUACCUGGCCUUUGGUGCAUUCAGGUGGACAGAGGAACACCGCUGGUGUAAAUGCGAGUGUUCAGCUCCAGCUGUUGUAUUCGCAGUUGGUUGGUUCGGUUCAUGAGUUAUAG